AUUGAACGCUGGCGGAAUGCUUUACACAUGCAAGUCGAACGGUAGAGGGGGCAACCCCUCGAGAGUGGCGAACGGGUGAGUAAUAUAUCGGAACGUGCCCAGUCGUGGGGGAUAACGUAGCGAAAGUUACGCUAAUACCGCAUACGAUCUAAGGAUGAAAGCGGGGGAUCGCAAGACCUCGCGCGAUUGGAGCGGCCGAUAUCAGAUUAGGUAGUUGGGGGGGUAAAGGCUCACCAAGCCAACGAUCUGUAGCUGGUCUGAGAGGACGACCACCCACACUGGAACUGAGCCACGGUCCAGACUCCUACGGGAGGCAGCAGUGGGGAAUUUUGGACAAUGGACGCAAGUCUGAUCCAGCCAUUCCGCGUGCAGGAUGAAGGCCCUCGGGUUGUAAACUGCUUUUGUACGGAACGAAAAGGUCUCUCUUAAUACGGGGGACUCAUGACGGUACCGUAAGAAUAAGCACCGGCUAACUACGUGCCAGCAGCCGCCGUAA
This 496-nucleotide ribosomal RNA is filed under the name uncultured bacterium. RNAcentral describes it as "partial 16S ribosomal RNA". It matches the Rfam family "Bacterial small subunit ribosomal RNA", at positions 30 to 523 of the family's 1533-position model. The record is from RNAcentral.